GAUGAACGCUAGCUACAGGCUUAACACAUGCAAGUCGAGGGGCAGCAUGAACUUAGCUUGCUAAGUUGAUGGCGACCGGCGCACGGGUGAGUAACGCGUAUCCAACCUGCCCUUGCCACCGGAUAACCCGUCGAAAGGCGGACUAACACGGUAUGUAGUCCACAGCAGGCAUCUAACGUGGACGAAAUGCGAAGGAGAAGGAUGGGGGAUGCGUCUGAUUAGCUUGUUGGCGGGGUAACGGCCCACCAAGGCGACGAUCAGUAGGGGUUCUGAGAGGAAGGUCCCCCACAUUGGAACUGAGACACGGUCCAAAACUCCUACGGGAGGCAGCAGUGAGGAAUAUUGGUCAAUGGACGGAAGUCUGAACCAGCCAAGUAGCGUGCAGGAUGACGGCCCUAUGGGUUGUAAACUGCUUUUAUAUGGGGAUAAAGUGGGCCACGUGUGGCUUAUUGCAGGUACCAUAUGAAUAAGGACCGGCUAAUUCCGUG
This 488-nucleotide ribosomal RNA is filed under the name uncultured bacterium. Its description in RNAcentral is "bacterial SSU rRNA". It matches the Rfam family "Bacterial small subunit ribosomal RNA", at positions 28 to 507 of the family's 1533-position model. The record is from RNAcentral.